GAUGAACGCUGGCGGCGUGCCUAAUACAUGCAAGUCGAGCGAACAGAUGAGGAGCUUGCUCCUCUGACGUUAGCGGCGGACGGGUGAGUAACACGUGGAUAACCUACCUAUAAGACUGGGAUAACUUCGGGAAACCGGAGCUAAUACCGGAUAAUAUAUUGAACCGCAUGGUUCAAUAGUGAAAGACGGUUUUGCUGUCACUUAUAGAUGGAUCCGCGCCGCAUUAGCUAGUUGGUAAGGUAACGGCUUACCAAGGCAACGAUGCGUAGCCGAACUGAGAGGGUGAUCGGCCACACUGGAACUGAGACACGGUCCAGACUCCUACGGGAGGCAGCAGUAGGGAAUCUUCCGCAAAGGGCGAAAGCCUGACGGAGCAACGCCGCGUGAGUGAUGAAGGUCUUCGGAUCGUAAAACUCUGUUAUUAGGGAAGAACAAAUGUGUAAGUAACUAUGCACGUCUUGACGGUACCUAAUCAGAAAGCCACGGCUAACUACGUG
RNAcentral lists this ribosomal RNA (497 nucleotides) under uncultured bacterium. Its description in RNAcentral is "partial 16S ribosomal RNA". It matches the Rfam family "Bacterial small subunit ribosomal RNA", at positions 28 to 507 of the family's 1533-position model. The record is from RNAcentral.